Molecule: long non-coding RNA, 1118 nt
Organism: Aegilops tauschii subsp. strangulata
Lineage: Eukaryota; Viridiplantae; Streptophyta; Magnoliopsida; Poales; Poaceae
Source: RefSeq, a predicted model, not a curated record
ACUACCUUAAACAUGACAUGGUAACAACAUCCACCCUUCUGUUAUAAUAAUAAGAAAUUUUAUUUUUAGGCACUUCAAACCACUUACAAAUUUUGCACGCAGAUUUUCCUACCUUCAAAUAUUCCCAAGAACCACUGGUUCCUGGCUGUUGUCAACUCCCAAAAGAGGGAGAUUCAAAUUCUGGACUCACUCCAAUCACGCAACAACCGGAAAGAAGUAAUUGCUGCGCUUCUUGGAAUGGAAACACAUAUUGAUAUAGCAGUGAUGGAAAAUGGAAUGCAAGGAAGUAGAUGGCCGGACACUCAAGUGGCUUCGUGGCCUAUCAAAGACUAUGAAGUGCCACAGCAAACAGAUGGCUGUUCCUGUGCUCUCUGGGUGUUGAAAUUCAUCCAAUAUUGGACCGGAGUGAGAUUGUCGGCAAUAUUCAACCAGGAUGACAUAAGACAGUUCAGAAGAUGGCUUGCUGCUGCCUUGAUCAAUUCACCUCACAAUGAGUUGAAAGUUCGGAAGGCCAUACCAGCAGUUGAUUUAGAAGAUGAUUUAGAAGACCUCGACCUCGGAGGUGACGACGGACACAACGACAGCGGAGAUGUCUCAGGAGACGAUGGUUCCGCACUAUAGUUGUGUGCUGCUGGACUUAGGGUAGAGUUAAUAGGAUUGGGCGUGGUGUGGUUUUUGCCCCGUAGACGGUUUCCACACCGUUUUCAAUUUUAUUACUUUAUCUAUACAGCGGAGAUGUAUCAAACAAUUUUUUUGGUUGUGCUACUUCAUAUAUACGGCAAAUUGCCGUACAUUUACUACUUUUAUCUGCAUUGAAUAUCUACAUUAAUUUUUAAUUAAAGUCUUUCAUGCACAAAAUCUUGUAUUCUUUGUUUAAUGAUGCAAUUCCCUUUGGUUUAUAGGAUGUGCUUCAAAAACCAAAUUUCUAAGUGGCUUUACACUACCGGUCGCAAUUUCCUUGCUACUUGUGUCCUUGGAAGCAACACAUCCUUUUUAAACCUGGGGUUUCAGUUCUGUAUUAUGCCAAUGAACGAUAGGCAAAUGCUGUCCUGUUUGCUUACCCCGUUACAAAAUGUCAAAGGAUGAGCCAACUUGGCCACCAACUUGGGAACUAGCCA